Molecule: ribosomal RNA, 265 nt
Rfam family: Bacterial small subunit ribosomal RNA
CUGGGGAGUACGGUCGCAAGAUUAAAACUCAAAGGAAUUGACGGGGACCCGCACAAGCGGUGGAUGAUGUGGAUUAAUUCGAUGCAACGCGAAAAACCUUACCUACCCUUGACAUGGCUGGAAUCCUCGAGAGAUUGAGGAGUGCUCGAAAGAGAACCAGUACACAGGUGCUGCAUGGCUGUCGUCAGCUCGUGUCGUGAGAUGUUGGGUUAAGUCCCGCAACGAGCGCAACCCUUGUCAUUAGUUGCUACGAAAGGGCACUCUA